Molecule: ribosomal RNA, 484 nt
Filed under: uncultured bacterium
Lineage: Bacteria
Description: partial 16S ribosomal RNA
Rfam family: Bacterial small subunit ribosomal RNA
Source: RNAcentral
AUUGAACGCUAGCGGGAUGCUUUACACAUGCAAGUCGAACGGCAGCGCGGACUUCGGUCUGGCGGCGAGUGGCGAACGGGUGAGUAAUGUAUCGGAACGUGCCCAGUAGCGGGGGAUAACUACGCGAAAGCGUAGCUAAUACCGCAUACGCCCUACGGGGGAAAGCAGGGGAUCGUAAGACCUUGCACUAUUGGAGCGGCCGAUAUCGGAUUAGCUAGUUGGUGAGGUAACGGCUCACCAAGGCGACGAUCCGUAGCUGGUUUGAGAGGACGACCAGCCACACUGGGACUGAGAAACGGCCCAGACUCCUACGGGAGGCAGCAGUGGGGAAUUUUGGACAAUGGGGGCAACCCUGAUCCAGCCAUCCCGCGUGUGCGAUGAAGGCCUUCGGGUUGUAAAGCACUUUUGGCAGGAAAGAAACGUCGCGGGCUAAUACCCCGUGGAACUGACGGUACCUGAAGAAUAAGCACCGGCUAACUACGUG